UACCAGCACCCCGAGUGGUCGGGACGAUUAUUGGGCCUAAAGCAUCCGUAGCCGGCCUUACAAGUCCCCCGUUAAAUCCAACUGCUUAACAGAUGGGCUGCGGAGGAUACUAUAAGACUAGGAGGCAGGAGAGGCAAGCGGUACUCAGUGGGUAGGGGUAAAAUCCGUUGAUCCAUUGAAGACCACCAGUGGCGAAGGCGGCUUGCCAGAAUGCACUCGACGGUGAGGGAUGAAAGCUGGGGGAGCAAACCGG
This 253-nucleotide ribosomal RNA is filed under the name uncultured bacterium. RNAcentral's name for it is "partial 16S ribosomal RNA". It matches the Rfam family "Archaeal small subunit ribosomal RNA", at positions 474 to 727 of the family's 1478-position model. The record is from RNAcentral.